Molecule: long non-coding RNA, 411 nt
Organism: Diceros bicornis minor
Lineage: Eukaryota; Metazoa; Chordata; Mammalia; Perissodactyla; Rhinocerotidae
Exons: 3
Source: RefSeq, a predicted model, not a curated record
UGAGAAAGUUCUAUUAUUGCCCAGGAGGUACUCACUGGUUUGACCUAAGAAAGAUAAGACUUGUGGAGAAUGAUGACAAUUCUUAACACAUGCAACUUGCCCUUUUGGAGGGGGCCGUGGGGCAAGGAUCUGAGGAUGGCAUCUGGACAACAGCCCACCAGGAACUGAAUCCUGCCAACCAACACUGAGUCAACUUGAAAGUGGGUCCUCCCUGAGUUGAGCCUGGAGAUGACUGUAGCCUUGGCCGACCCUGGGAUUUCAGUCUUGUGGGAGACCAUUAGCCAGAGGCACACAGUGCUGUGAAGAUAAACGAUUUGCAGACUCUCAUGUUCUAUUCUGACAGAGUCAGAGUCAGUACGGGCAAAGUUGUUACUUGCCUUACACGGUACUAUUCUCUGGAGGUGUGCACCG